CCUACGGGUGGCAGCAGUGAGGAAUAUUGGUCAAUGGGCGGGAGCCUGAACCAGCCAAGUCGCGUGAGGGAAGAAGGUACUGAGUAUUGUAAACCUCUUUUGCCAGGGGACAAAGGCGGCCACGGGUGGCCGUAAGAGGGUACCUGGAGAAAAAGCAUCGGCUAACUCCGUGCCAGCAGCCGCGGUAAUACGGAGGAUGCGAGCGUUAUCCGGAUUUAUUGGGUUUAAAGGGUGCGUAGGCGGAUUUUUAAGUCAGCGGUAAAAUGUCCGGGCUCAACCCGGGCCGGCCGUUGAAACUGGGGAUCUUGAGUGGGCGAGAAGUAUGCGGAAUGCGUGGUGUAGCGGUGAAAUGCAUAGAUAUCACGCAGAACUCCGAUUGCGAAGGCAGCAUACCGGCGCCCGACUGACGCUGAGGCACGAAAGCGUGGGGAUCGAACAGGAUUAGAUACCCUAGUAGUC
RNAcentral lists this ribosomal RNA (459 nucleotides) under uncultured bacterium. RNAcentral's name for it is "partial 16S ribosomal RNA". It matches the Rfam family "Bacterial small subunit ribosomal RNA", at positions 338 to 795 of the family's 1533-position model. The record is from RNAcentral.